UGGGGAAUAUUGCACAAUGGGCGCAAGCCUGAUGCAGCAACGCCGCGUGAACGAUGAAGGUCUUCGGAUCGUAAAGUUCUGUUGCAGGGGAAGAUAAUGACGGUACCCUGUGAGGAAGCCCCGGCUAACUACGUGCCAGCAGCCGCGGUAAUACGUAGGGGGCUAGCGUUAUCCGGAUUUACUGGGCGUAAAGGGUGCGUAGGUGGUCUUUCAAGUCGGUGGUUAAAGGCUACGGCUCAACCGUAGUUAGCCUCCGAAACUGGAAGACUUGAGUGCAGGAGAGGAAAGUGGAAUUCCCAGGGUAGCGAUGAAAUGCGUAGAUAUUGGGAGGAACACCAGUAGCGAAGGCGGCUUUCUGGACUGCAACUGACACUGAGGCACGAAAGCGUGGGUAGCAAACAGG
This 403-nucleotide ribosomal RNA is filed under the name Verrucomicrobiota bacterium. RNAcentral describes it as "Verrucomicrobia bacterium partial 16S ribosomal RNA". It matches the Rfam family "Bacterial small subunit ribosomal RNA", at positions 355 to 776 of the family's 1533-position model. Lineage: Bacteria; Pseudomonadati; Verrucomicrobiota. The record is from RNAcentral.